Pelobates cultripes (western spadefoot toad) is the source of this 614-nucleotide non-coding RNA. The record is from the annotation of a GenBank genome assembly. NCBI's taxonomy places the organism in Eukaryota, Metazoa, Chordata, Amphibia, Anura, Pelobatidae.
GACACAGACACUGGGAGACUAGGGGACUGGGCGACAUGGGGACACUGACACUGUGAUACAUAGGUACACUGAUGCCAGGCUUGCCUUCCAAUUCUUUGGACAGACAUGCCCCCUUUUUGGGCAUGUUUGUCCCUUUUGGCAGUUCUGGUCACGUGACUCGCAUCAGUGACCCACCCUUUUACUCCGCCCAUUGACUUCCUGCUUCACUUGACACUAAUGUUAGGGGGUAUGGAUUUACUUGAAAGAUGAAAGUAUAAAUUAGAUAAAGAGAUUAGCAUAGGGUAUGUGUUUUCUUAUAGUUGCAUCCUUUGAGUUUCCCUCCAACACCAACUCCAUCAGAUACACGACGCUUGAGAGGUACGACUGUUUUAGUGUUUUUGGUCGAUAAGAUUCUGUAAGUAGGCCCCAUCAUAAUUGUCAGCACCAGGCCCACUGGGCUCUUAAUCUGGCCCUGAGGAGUAAUGGGAGUUUGAGUGCAGUGCAUAAUUUUGUAUGUCACCCACCCAAUGUAUUCCCAAUUAAGGGUUUAGAAAAAUAUCCUUUUCUUUUACCUGAAGACAGCAAGGUGAAUUGUUAGUGUAGGGCUCGUCUAAGAGGUUUAACCCUGACCUGGU